Molecule: ribosomal RNA, 388 nt
Filed under: Ptyodactylus togoensis
Lineage: Eukaryota; Metazoa; Chordata; Lepidosauria; Squamata; Phyllodactylidae
Description: Ptyodactylus hasselquistii togoensis partial 12S ribosomal RNA
Rfam family: Bacterial small subunit ribosomal RNA (bases 47-388)
Source: RNAcentral
CCAGCCAUUAACAUAGAUGGGCCCCAUUAAACCCCCCCACCCGCCAGAGAAGUACAAGCAGAAGGCUCGAAACUCUAAGGACUUGGCGGUGUCCCACACCGACCUAGAGGAGCCUGUCCAAUAAUCGAUGAUCCACGUUAAACCUAACCCGCCCUUGCCAACCAGCCUAUAUACCGCCGUCGCCAGCCUGCCUAAUGAUAGACUAAAAGCAGGCUCAACAAUCCCCAUUAACACGUCAGGUCAAGGUGUAGCUAAUGAGCGGGGCAAAGAUGGGCUACAUUUUCUAACCACAAGAAAAACACCACACGUCUAAUGAAACACGGACCAAAAGGCGGAUUUAGCAGUAAACUGCGCAAGACGCGCCCAAUUGAAACCUGCCCUGGGACAC